CUGUGUGUGCCCAUAGUUGCCUUUGUGAUGCCCAUAAGGUGCCUUCCAAGUGCCCCAUAAGUGCCUUCAAGUGCCCCAUAAGUGCUGUGUGUGCCCCAUAAGUGCCUUCAAGUGCCCCAUAAGUGCUGUGUGAGCCCCAUAAGUGCCUUCAAGUGCCCCAUAAGUGCCUUCAAGUGCCCCAUAAGUGCCUUCAGGUGCCCCAUAAGUGCUGUGUGAGCCCCAUAAGUGUCUUUAAGUGCCCCAUAAGUGCCAUGGGGCGCCCCAUAACCACGUC
Molecule: long non-coding RNA, 274 nt
Filed under: Coturnix japonica (Japanese quail)
Lineage: Eukaryota; Metazoa; Chordata; Aves; Galliformes; Phasianidae
Description: lncRNA (ENSCJPG00005002611.1)
Source: RNAcentral